Molecule: transfer RNA, 68 nt
Filed under: Rhabdopleura sp. NHMO H2136
Lineage: Eukaryota; Metazoa; Hemichordata; Pterobranchia; Rhabdopleurida; Rhabdopleuridae
Description: tRNA-Leu
Source: RNAcentral
AAAGUCCUAGUCUAAGUGAUAAUGACAGUAGUUUUAGGGGCUAAAGGUUAAGUGUUUUUAGGACUUUU